UACAGAGGUCCCAAGCGUUGUUCGGAUUUACUGGGCGUAAAGGGUUCGUAGGCGGUGGGGUAAGUUUGAGGUGAAAGCUCCGGGCUCAACCCGGAAACUGCCUUGAAAACUAUCCGGCUAGAGGGUUGGAGGGGAGACUGGAAUUCUCGGUGUAGCAGUGAAAUGCGUAGAUCUCGAGAGGAACACCAGUGGCGAAGGCGGGUCUCUGGACAACACCUGACGCUGAGGCACGAAAGCCAGGGGAGCAAACGGG
RNAcentral lists this ribosomal RNA (253 nucleotides) under uncultured bacterium. RNAcentral describes it as "partial 16S ribosomal RNA". It matches the Rfam family "Bacterial small subunit ribosomal RNA", at positions 524 to 776 of the family's 1533-position model. The record is from RNAcentral.